CAACUAUUGUUAAAAUAUAUUUAAUUAUUUACACUUGCAACUCUACGCUAUUUUGAUUCUUUGGUUUAUUGAUACCCUCGGAGGCGGUAUUGUUAAAAUUUUUUGGUAACAGAAACCGGCUUGUAACGCAAGACAAUAUUCUCAUCCUCAUUUAAACUAAGAAAAUCAAAAAUGGAAUCUACAACUACGCCAGUAGUUGCAGCUAAUGCUGGUAAAAUUUACAAAGUUGCGACUAGAGUAGGACGAGGUAUACCAGAAAUAACUAAGGUUUAUACGAAGAAGUGUUCUUGUCGAAGAGAAAAAACUAUCGUCUUUUGUCGAGCAUGUGGCUACUACUGCCAUGGACGUAUUCGAUUGAAAUGUGAAACACACCCCCGGGUUACAUUUUUAUUGGAUAUUGCUGAAUGCCCUCGAUGCCAUUCUUCAGUAUUUCUGGAUGAAUAUUUUGGCGACCUGUAAUUUGUUAUGACUGAAAUGUCGACUCUCCGUCUCCUUUAUAUUCUCCUCAUUCAUAUUUAAACUAAGAUAUUGUUAAGUUUGUGUUAUCUAAAUAUGAUUUGAAUGACUAAAGUUUUUAAGGUGUUGAUUACCAUUUUUAUUUGAGCCUAUUUACUUGUAUACUGUUAAUAUUUAAAACAAUUAGGCUUUUAUGAUAAAAACCUGAUUUGUUUGUUAAAUUUAGUGCUAUAUGAGUAAAUAUCCUUUCUUUAUGUAUGUUAAUUAGUGGUUAUUAAUUAGUAUUAAGUUAUGCCGAUAGGGUUAACGGUAAAUAAAUGCAACAUGAUAAAUAUACAA
RNA transcript from Vanessa tameamea, 795 nucleotides. RefSeq lists it as uncharacterized. The transcript is spliced from 2 exons. The record is from RefSeq and is a predicted model, not a curated record. Lineage: Eukaryota; Metazoa; Arthropoda; Insecta; Lepidoptera; Nymphalidae.